CUUAUGAAGUUAGCGGCGGACGGGUGAGUAACACGUGGGUAACCUGCCCAUAAGACUGGGAUAACUCCGGGAAACCGGGGCUAAUACCGGAUAACAUUUUGAACCGCAUGGUUCGAAAUUGAAAGGCGGCUUCGGCUGUCACUUAUGGAUGGACCCGCGUCGCAUUAGCUAGUUGGUGAGGUAACGKCUCACCAAGGCAACGAUGCGUAGCCGACCUGAGAGGGUGAUCGGCCACACUGGGACUGAGACACGGCCCAGACUCCUACGGGAGGCAGCAGUAGGGAAUCUUCCGCAAUGGACGAAAGUCUGACGGAGCAACGCCGCGUGAAGUGAUGAAGGCUUUCGGGUCGUAAAACUCUGUUGUUAGGGAAGAACAAGUGCUAGUUGAAUAAGCUGGCACCUUGACGGUACCUAACCAGAAAGCCACGGCUAACUACGUGCCAGCAGCCGCGGUAAUACGUAGGUGGCAAGCGUUAUCCGGAAUUAUUGGGCGUAAAGCGGCGCGCAGGUGGUUUCUUCAAGUCUGAUGUGAAAGCCCACGGCUCAAUCCGUGGGAGGGUCAUUGGAAACUGGGAGACUUGAGUGCAGAAGAGGAAAGUGGAAUUCCAUGUGUACGCGGUGAAAUGCGUAGAGAUAUGGAGGAACACCAGUGGCGAAGGCGACUUUCUGGUCUGUAACUGACCACUGAGGCGCGAAAGCGUGGGGAAGCAAACAGGAUUAGAUACCCUGGUAGUCCACGCCGUAAACGAUGAAGUGCUAAGUGUUAGAGGGUUUCCGCCCUUUAGUGCUGAAGUUAACGCCAUUAAGCACUCCGCCUGGGGAGUACGGCCGGCAAGGCUGAAACUCAAAGGAAUUGACCGGGGGCCCGCACAAUCGGUGCAGCAUGUGGUUUAAUUCGGAAGCAACGCGAAGAACCUUACCAGGUCUUGACAUCCUCUGACACCCUAAG
Molecule: ribosomal RNA, 949 nt
Filed under: Bacillus sp. (in: firmicutes)
Lineage: Bacteria; Bacillati; Bacillota; Bacilli; Caryophanales; Bacillaceae
Description: bacterial SSU rRNA
Rfam family: Bacterial small subunit ribosomal RNA
Source: RNAcentral